GACGAACGCUGGCGGCGUGCUUAACACAUGCAAGUCGAACGGAAAGGCCCUGCUUUUGUGGGGUGCUCGAGUGGCGAACGGGUGAGUAACACGUGAGUAACCUGCCCGUGACUUUGGGAUAACUUCAGGAAACUGGGGCUAAUACAGGAUAGGAGCUGCUGCGGCAUGGUGGGGGUUGGAAAGUUUCGGCGGUUGGGGAUGGACUCGCGGCUUAUCAGCUUGUUGGUGGGGUAGUGGCUGACCAAGGCUUUGACGGGUAGCCGGCCUGAGAGGGUGACCGGCCACAUUGGGCCUGAGAUACGGCCCAGACUCCUACGGGAGGCAGCAGUGGGGAAUAUUGCACAAUGGGCGGAAGCCUGAUGCAGCAACGCCGCGUGCGGGAUGACGGCCUUCGGGUUGUAAACCGCUUUCGCCUGUGACGAAGCGUGAGUGACGGUAAUGGGUAAAGAAGCACCGGCUAACUACGUG
This 468-nucleotide ribosomal RNA is filed under the name uncultured bacterium. Its description in RNAcentral is "partial 16S ribosomal RNA". It matches the Rfam family "Bacterial small subunit ribosomal RNA", at positions 28 to 507 of the family's 1533-position model. The record is from RNAcentral.